Molecule: microRNA precursor, 206 nt
Filed under: Oryza glumipatula
Lineage: Eukaryota; Viridiplantae; Streptophyta; Magnoliopsida; Poales; Poaceae
Description: MIR812 microRNA precursor family
Rfam family: MIR812 microRNA precursor family
Source: Rfam by way of RNAcentral
AAAAAGACAAACCAUAGUUUCCAUGUUCAACGUUUGACCGUCCGUCUUAUUUUAAAAAAUUAUGAAAAAAAAUUAAAAAGACAAGCCACACAAAAAAUAUUAAUCAUGUUUUAUUAUCAAACAGCAAUGAAAAUACGAAUUAUAAAAAAAUUUCAUACAAGACGGACAGUUAAAGUUGGACACGGAAAUUUAGGGUUUGUCAUUUU